GACGAACGCUGGCGGCGUGCCUAAUACAUGCCAGUCGAGCGGACGAUUCGAAAGCUUGCUUUUGAAUCGUUAGCGGCGGACGGGUGAGUAACACGUGGGCAACCUGCCCUGUAGACGGGGAUAACACCGAGAAAUCGGUGCUAAUACCGGAUAACACGAAAUGUCGCAUGACGUUUCGUUGAAAGGCGGCGCAAGCUGCCGCUACAGGAUGGGCCCGCGGCGCAUUAGCUAGUUGGUGAGGUAACGGCUCACCAAGGCGACGAUGCGUAGCCGACCUGAGAGGGUGAUCGGCCACACUGGGACUGAGACACGGCCCAGACUCCUACGGGAGGCAGCAGUAGGGAAUCUUCCGCAAUGGACGAAAGUCUGACGGAGCAACGCCGCGUGAGCGAAGAAGGCCUUCGGGUCGUAAAGCUCUGUUGUUAGGGAAGAACAAGUAACGUAGUAACUGACGUUACUAUGACGGUACCUAACGAGAAAGCCACGGCUAACUACGUG
RNAcentral lists this ribosomal RNA (498 nucleotides) under uncultured bacterium. RNAcentral describes it as "partial 16S ribosomal RNA". It matches the Rfam family "Bacterial small subunit ribosomal RNA", at positions 28 to 507 of the family's 1533-position model. The record is from RNAcentral.